This 72-nucleotide transfer RNA is filed under the name Osteochilus hasseltii (silver sharkminnow). RNAcentral describes it as "tRNA-Asp". It matches the Rfam family "tRNA". Rfam says of the family: Transfer RNA (tRNA) molecules are approximately 80 nucleotides in length. Lineage: Eukaryota; Metazoa; Chordata; Actinopteri; Cypriniformes; Cyprinidae. The record is from RNAcentral.
GAGAUAUUAGUAAAAUGUAUAUUAUACCACCUUGUCAAGAUGGAGUCGUAGGUUAAACCCCUACAUACCUCA